Molecule: ribosomal RNA, 253 nt
Filed under: uncultured bacterium
Lineage: Bacteria
Description: partial 16S ribosomal RNA
Rfam family: Bacterial small subunit ribosomal RNA
Source: RNAcentral
UACGGGGGGGGCAAGCGUUGUUCGGAAUUACUGGGCGUAAAGGGCGCGUAGGCGGGCCGCCAAGUCUGUGGUGAAAUCCCCCGGCUCAACCGGGGAACGGCCGCGGAUACUGGAGGUCUCGAGGGAGGUAGGGGCAUGCGGAACUACGGGUGGAGCGGUGAAAUGCGUUGAUAUCCGUAGGAACUCCGGUGGCGAAGGCGGCGUGCUGGACCUCUUCUGACGCUGAGGCGCGAAAGCCAGGGGAGCGAACGGG